GGCUGUGACUCAGUGGUAGAGUGCUUGCCUAGCAUGGAUAAGGCACUAAGUUCGAUUCUCAGCACCA
RNAcentral lists this transfer RNA (67 nucleotides) under Marmota monax (woodchuck). Its description in RNAcentral is "tRNA.Ala". Lineage: Eukaryota; Metazoa; Chordata; Mammalia; Rodentia; Sciuridae. The record is from RNAcentral.